Molecule: transfer RNA, 77 nt
Filed under: Nannocystis exedens
Lineage: Bacteria; Pseudomonadati; Myxococcota; Nannocystales; Nannocystaceae
Also listed under: 10 other names
Description: tRNA_Arg_CCG
Rfam family: tRNA
About the family: Transfer RNA (tRNA) molecules are approximately 80 nucleotides in length. Their secondary structure includes four short double-helical elements and three loops (D, anti-codon, and T loops). Further hydrogen bonds mediate the characteristic L-shaped molecular structure. tRNAs have two regions of fundamental functional importance: the anti-codon, which is responsible for specific mRNA codon recognition, and the 3' end, to which the tRNAs corresponding amino acid is attached (by aminoacyl-tRNA synthetases). tRNAs cope with the degeneracy of the genetic code in two manners: having more than one tRNA (with a specific anti-codon) for a particular amino acid; and 'wobble' base-pairing, i.e. permitting non-standard base-pairing at the 3rd anti-codon position.
Source: RNAcentral
GCGUGUGUAGCUCAGUUGGAUAGAGCGUUGGCCUCCGAAGCCAAAGGUCGCAGGUUCGACUCCUGCCACGCGCGCCA